Molecule: non-coding RNA, 97 nt
Filed under: Victivallales bacterium
Lineage: Bacteria; Pseudomonadati; Lentisphaerota; Lentisphaeria; Victivallales
Source: RNAcentral
UUUUGGAACCCGUGCGGCGGGAAUGCUGUGAACCUGGUCAGGUGGUGACCCAAGCAGCCAUAAGCAGUUGACCUGGGCGCCGGGACCUCUGAGGCGG